Varanus komodoensis (Komodo dragon) is the source of this 1874-nucleotide long non-coding RNA. RefSeq lists it as uncharacterized. The record is from RefSeq and is a predicted model, not a curated record. NCBI's taxonomy places the organism in Eukaryota, Metazoa, Chordata, Lepidosauria, Squamata, Varanidae. The transcript is spliced from 3 exons.
GUGGGAAGUGGAGGAACCGUUUCUGGGGUUCGCGUCUCGCUCCUCCCGCGGUCCUCCAGAGUCCCCCGCUGCGGCCCCGCGAGGCGGACCGGUAGGGGAGCCUGCGCGGCGUCUUGGUUGGGUCGGGCCGAGGAGGCGUGGGCGCUGGCCUCUGCGGCGCCCGGGACGGCGGAGACCACCGCCUCCAUUCCCGCUUUACAUUGCUCAGCUCCCUGUACCAAUGAGAGUAGAUCUAAAUCCCGGUGUCUGUGAACUCUGCAUCACCAGAGGACAUAAGUGAAGAACCUAGUUUUAGUCAAGCACACAAAGUAGACAGGUGCAUGACAAGACAGUGAGAAUCAGAUGGAUCCAUGCAUCUAAUCGUUAGACAUAAGCAUGAACUGAUAUUUCCAAAUUAAGUGGCAUCAGAAAGAAGAAAAACGCCUGUUUCUCAAGGUGUGGAAUGCCGGAACUCUUUGUUUCAAAAGUUGCUGAGAGGAAGAGAAGAAAAGAGAGACAAAACUGAGAUAAAAUAUUUAAUAGGGAAGAAUAGGUAAGGCAGCAGGUCCACCAAAGACCAACCUUUUUACAGCACUGAAUGUGGACUGGGCUUCAGGAUGAACGGAAGUCUUACUAAACCUGACAUUAGACAUGUAGGGCAGAAACCCUUUGUAUGCAAGGAAUGUGGAAAGAACUACAGUCGGAAGUAUGCACUUACUUUACGUGCAAGGACUCAUACAGGAGAAAAACCAUAUCACUGCAUGGAAUGUGGGAAGAGAUUCAGUAAUACUGGAAAUUUUACUGAGCAUCAAAAGACCCACACCGGGGAGAAGCCAUAUCAAUGUGUGGAAUGUGGAAAGAGUUUUCGUCAGAAGGGUUAUCUUUCUAUACAUGAAAGAAUCCACAGGGGAGAGAAGCCUUACAAAUGCAUGGAAUGUGGUAAGACCUUCACUUCCAGUUAUUCCCUAAAUCUGCAUCACAGACGCCACACAGGGAAGAAACCAUAUAAGUGUAUGGAAUGUGGAAAGAGCUUCAGUGUGUGUGCAUCUCUUACACUGCAUCAUAGAACUCACACAGGCAAAAAGUUGUAUUGCAAGCUACAGCAAUAUGCAAUUCAGACUGGAAUCAGGAAAAAACUAUUGGUAGGGGAAAAUGUAGUCUCUCUUCCUUGUCUCUGAGCUUCCUCGGUUGUCACUUUACUCUGCAGUAUUUUCCAAUACUUUCCAUGGCUCACAAACUGAAAUACCUGUCCAGUGAGAAAUUGUCCCUUCCGGACAAUGAUCACAUCUGUAGCAGCAAACCGGCUUCCCCUCUGGAACUUUUCUCUGCUGCCCUGGAGAGCACCUCUCCACACACCUUCCAAAAGGCAUCUUCUGCAAAGGAAAGCACAAAUGGUCAAGGUUAAAGUGACAUGCAUUGCACAAAAUGCGGUGGCUCAUUGGAGUUCCCUCUUUCUUUCUGUAAAGAAUUGCCCAUUGAAGUAUAUUUGAAAUAUUUCUGAAUGUCUGAAGGUCACUUGAAACCCUCAAACUUGUAUGGUAGAUAAAAAUUGUAUUGCUGCAAGCUGAAGGGAGAGGGGUUCCCAAAACCAUUCCCUGCUGUUCCAUUGACCUCAGGGGGUUCAGUUAACCUAUUCACCCCUCCAUGCAGUGAAUGGCCCAGAGUGCUAUAUUUCUCUGCAUAGAGGAACAAAUCUGGUUCAACAACCCUUUGGUCAGGAGCUAGGUUUCCUCCCUUCUCUCUCUCAAACCAAGAGCACUAUCUUUGGCCAGAGUUCUUUAGUCCCAGUGCACAACAAGCAAGUAUAGCCAGUAAAUGUUGUGAGCUGCCCCGAGGCUUCGGCGAAUGGGGCGGCAUAGAAAAGUUUGAAAGAAAGAAAGAAAGAAAGACCCCCC